RNAcentral lists this ribosomal RNA (292 nucleotides) under uncultured prokaryote. RNAcentral's name for it is "partial 16S ribosomal RNA". It matches the Rfam family "Bacterial small subunit ribosomal RNA", at positions 505 to 796 of the family's 1533-position model. The record is from RNAcentral.
GUGUCAGCAGCCGCGGUAAUACGUAGGUGGCAAGCGUUGUCCGGAUUUAUUGGGCGUAAAGCGAGCGCAGGCGGUUCUUUAAGUCUGAUGUGAAAGCCCCCGGCUCAACCGGGGAGGGUCAUUGGAAACUGGAGAACUUGAGUGCAGAAGAGGAGAGUGGAAUUCCACGUGUAGCGGUGAAAUGCGUAGAUAUGUGGAGGAACACCAGUGGCGAAGGCGACUCUCUGGUCUGUAACUGACGCUGAGGCUCGAAAGCGUGGGGAGCAAACAGGAUUAGAAACCCCCGUAGUCC